GAUGAACGCUGGCGGCGUGACUAAUACAUGCAAGUCGAGCGAAGCGGGGACGGGUGAGUAACACGUGGAUAACCUCCUAUAAGACUGGGAUAACUUCGGGAAACCGGAGCUAAAACGGAAACUUAUCGAUGGAUCAGCGCUUCAUUAGAUAGUUGGUAAGGUAACGGCUUACCAAGGAAACGAUGCAUAGCCGACCUGACAGGUUGAGCGGCCAAACUGGACCUGAGACGCGGUCCAGACUCCUACGGGAGGCAGCAGUAGGGAAUCUUCCGCAAUGGACGAAAGUCUGCCGGAGCAACGCCGCGUGAGUGAUGACGGCCUUCGGGUUGUAAAGCUCUGUUAAUCGGGACGCGGUACCGGAAUAGAAAGCCACGGCUAACUACGUGCCAGCCGCCGCGGUAAUUC
RNAcentral lists this ribosomal RNA (405 nucleotides) under uncultured bacterium. RNAcentral's name for it is "partial 16S ribosomal RNA". It matches the Rfam family "Bacterial small subunit ribosomal RNA", at positions 28 to 526 of the family's 1533-position model. The record is from RNAcentral.